AGAGUUUGAUCCUGGCUCAGAACGAACGUUAGCGGCGCGCCUAACACAUGCAAGUCGCACGAGAAAGGGCUUCGGCCCCGGUACAGUGGCGCACGGGUGAGUAACACGUAGAUCAUCUCCCCUCGAGUGGUGGAUAACUCUCCGAAAGGAGAGCUAAUACAGCAUGAGACCACGGCUUCGUUGAAGCUGCGGCCAAAGCAGCCCUCUACACGUAAGGUUGCGCUUGAGGAUGAGUCUGCGGCCCAUCAGCUAGUUGGUAGGGUAAUGGCCUACCAAGGCUAAGACGGGUAGCUGGUCUGAGAGGAUGAACAGCCACACUGGAACUGAGACACGGUCCAGACUCCUACGGGAGGCAGCAGUGGGAAUCUUGCGCAAUGGGCGAAAGCCUGACGCAGCGACGCCGCGUGAGCGAUGAAGGCCUUCGGGUUGUAAAGCUCUGUGGGGAGGAAAGAAUAAGGAUUGGCUAAUAUCCAAUCUGAUGACGGUACCUCCUUAGCAAGCACCGGCUAACUCUGUGCCAGCAGCCGCGGUAAGACGAAGGAUGCAAGCGUUAUCCGGAUUCAUUGGGUUUAAAGGGAGCGUAGGUGGCCUUAUAAGUCAGUGGUGAAAUCUCUGGGCUUAACCCAGAAAUUGCCAUUGAUACUGUAGGGCUUGAGUAUAGUUGCCGUUGGCGGAAUAUGACAUGUAGUGGUGAAAUACAUAGAGAUGUCAUAGAACACCGAUUGCGAAGGCAGCUGACGAAACUAUAACUGACACUGAGGCUCGAAAGUGUGGGGAUCAAACAGGAUUAGAUACCCUGGUAGUCCACACUGUAAACGAUGAUUACUCGCUGCUAGAGGGCAACUUUUAGUGGCUUAGCGAAAGCGAUAAGUAAUCCACCUGGGGAGUACGCCGGCAACGGUGAAACUCAAAGGAAUUGACGGGGGCCCGCACAAGCGGAGGAGCAUGUGGUUUAAUUCGAUGAUACGCGAGGAACCUUACCAGGGCUUGAGAGUUAGGGAAUAACUCUGAAAGGAGUUAGUCAGCAAUGACCCGAAACUAGGUGCUGCAUGGCUGUCGUCAGCUCGUGCCGCGAGGUGUUGGGUUAAGUCCCGCAACGAGCGCAACCCCUACCAUUAGUUGCCAGCGGUUCGGCCGGGGACUCUAGUGGAACUGCCCGCGCAAGCGGUGAGGAAGGUGGGGAUGACGUCAAGUCAUCACGGCCCUUACGUCCUGGGCUACACACGUGCUACAAUGGCUAUUACAGAGGGCAGCUACAUGGCAACAUGAUGCAAAUCUUCAAAAAUAGUCUCAGUUCGGAUUGGGGUCUGCAACUCGACCCCAUGAAGCUGGAUUCGCUAGUAAUCGCGCAUCAGCAAUGGCGCGGUGAAUACGUUCCCGGGCCUUGUACACACCGCCCGUC
RNAcentral lists this ribosomal RNA (1402 nucleotides) under metagenome. RNAcentral's name for it is "bacterial SSU rRNA". It matches the Rfam family "Bacterial small subunit ribosomal RNA". The record is from RNAcentral.